UUGAAUUUAAUGUAGAGUUGGUUGUAGCUGGCCUAAUUAAUAAUUUGGGCAUGUGCACACCUUCUCUUUCAUCCACACACACCUGUGCACCUGUGAGACAGAGUGGGAAUUUUAAUUUAAUUUAAUUGGACCCUCUGUCUACUUAAUUCACACAGACUCUAUUUAUUAUAAAAUGAAUGUAAUUGAUGUAACGCAUCUAAUAC
RNAcentral lists this unclassified non-coding RNA (203 nucleotides) under soil metagenome. RNAcentral's name for it is "partial internal transcribed spacer 1". The record is from RNAcentral.